RNAcentral lists this ribosomal RNA (497 nucleotides) under uncultured bacterium. RNAcentral describes it as "partial 16S ribosomal RNA". It matches the Rfam family "Bacterial small subunit ribosomal RNA", at positions 28 to 507 of the family's 1533-position model. The record is from RNAcentral.
GAUGAACGCUGGCGGCGUGCCUAAUACAUGCAAGUCGAGCGAACAGAUAAGGAGCUUGCUCCUUUGACGUUAGCGGCGGACGGGUGAGUAACACGUGGGUAACCUACCUAUAAGACUGGAAUAACUCCGGGAAACCGGGGCUAAUGCCGGAUAACAUUUAGAACCGCAUGGUUCUAAAGUGAAAGAUGGUUUUGCUAUCACUUAUAGAUGGACCCGCGCCGUAUUAGCUAGUUGGUAAGGUAACGGCUUACCAAGGCAACGAUACGUAGCCGACCUGAGAGGGUGCUGGCCCACACGGGAAGGGAGACGGGGCCCAGCCUCAUAGGGGAGGAAGAAGGGGGAAAUCUCCCGCAAUGGGGGAAAGCCUGACGGAGCAGCGCCGGGGGGGUGAGAAGGGUCUUGGGAUCUUAAAACUGUUUUAUUGGGGAAAAAAAAAUGUGAAAGUAACUGGGCACGUUUUGAGGGUCCCUAAUCAAAAGGCCACGGCAAACUCGGGG